UUCAACUUAUAUUCAAUUGAAUAGACUGCAAAGACAAGCUAUUUAAUGUUUGAACUGAGAAACAUAUUUUUUUAAAAUUAUGAUUAAAUUAAAGUACCAAUGAUUGUCACACACACACUAGAUGUGGUGAAAUUUGUCCUCUGCAUUUGACCCAUCCCCUUGGGGAGCAGUGGGCAGACCCCCAACUCCAACCCUUGAUGCUCUGCAAGACACUGGUCAUCUUGGAGCUCCCCAGUCCCGACAGCACUCAUGUAGCCCCAGACCAUGACACUACCACCACCACGUUCGACUGUAUGCAAGACACAAUUAUUUCGACUCAUUCUGUGGGUGUAAAAGAAAGUGCAUCUGUAUCCUCCUUCAAAACCGCACUAAAAGAACACCUCCAGGCAACUACAACCCUAGACUAACACUCUCCCCCCUCCACAUUCCACCUCCCCGGAUUGUAAAUAAUGAAAUGUAUAUACUUGUUCUUAUGCUUUCUGAACUCACUAUGUUCACUGCUCGCUGUACAUAUCCUACCAAGUCGGACCUACACUGUUACAAUGUCCAUUUCUCUGAUGAUUGUUGAUGACUGAAGUGCUGAUAUCAACCAAACCUAACCCCCCCCACCCCCCCACCCCCUCAUCCCACCCCCGGAUUGUAAAUAAUGUAAAUAAUUCAAUGUAUAUACUCUGAUGAUUAACUUGUGUGAUGACUGUAUUAUGCUGAUAGUAUAUAUUUGUAACAUGAAUUGAUUUACGUGGACCCCAACUUAAACAAGUUGAAAAACUUAUUUGGGUGUUACCAUUUAGUGGUCAAUUGUACAAAAUAUAUACUGCACUGUACAAUCUACUAAUAAAAGUUUCAAUCAAUCAACAACACUCAGUAAAGGUUUGGGAACUGAGACGACCAAUUUUUGAAGCUUUUCAGGUGGAAUUCUUUCCCAUUCUUGCUUGAUGUACCGCUUAAGUUGUUCAACAGUCCGGGGUCUCCCUUGUGGUUUUUGCUGCUUCAUAAUGCGCCACACAUUUUCAAUGGGAGACAGAUCUGGACUACAGGAAGGCCAGUCUAGUACCGACACUCUUUUACUAUAAAGCCAGGCUGUUGUAACACAUGCAGAAUGUGGCUAGGCAUUGUCUUGCUGAAAUAAGCAGGGGCGUCCAUGAAAAAUACUUUGCUUGGAUGGCAACAUGUUUCUCCAAAACCUGUAUGUACCUCUCAGCAUUAAUGGUGCCUUCACAUAUGUGUAAGUUACCCAUGCCUUGGGCACUAAUACACCCACAUAUUUGCAAAAAAUGAAGUUUCUCAGUUCGAACAUUAAAUAUCUUGUCUUUGCAGUGUAUUCAA
Molecule: long non-coding RNA, 1326 nt
Organism: Entelurus aequoreus (snake pipefish)
Lineage: Eukaryota; Metazoa; Chordata; Actinopteri; Syngnathiformes; Syngnathidae
Exons: 3
Source: RefSeq, a predicted model, not a curated record